Molecule: ribosomal RNA, 253 nt
Filed under: uncultured bacterium
Lineage: Bacteria
Description: partial 16S ribosomal RNA
Rfam family: Bacterial small subunit ribosomal RNA
Source: RNAcentral
UACGGGGGGAGCAAGCGUUGUCCGGAUUGACUGGGCGUAAAGCGCACGCAGGCGGCACCGCGCGUGGGGUGUGAAAUCUGGCCGCUUAACGGCCAGGCGCCAUCCCAUACGGCGGAGCUGGAGUGAUGCAGAGGUCGAUGGAAUUGCCGGUGUAGUGGUGAAAUGCGUAGAGAUCGGCAGGAACACCCAGGGGGAAACCAGUCGACUGGGCAUCUACUGACGCUGAGGUGCGAGAGCGUGGGGAGCGAACAGG